Molecule: long non-coding RNA, 976 nt
Filed under: Gallus gallus (chicken)
Lineage: Eukaryota; Metazoa; Chordata; Aves; Galliformes; Phasianidae
Description: lncRNA (ENSGALG00010011781.1)
Source: RNAcentral
GUUAACCUGGAACUUGAACAGAAGAAAAUCAUAUUUCUUGUUCUCAGGAUGGGAAUUUGGAGUUAUGAACUUAGACUUGCAGCGAUGCUUCCUUUCUAGAGUACUGCUGUAUGGUAUCUACGAAGAUAGUGGUCACCCACUUGAGAUGUAAUACUAGUUCGGAGCUGACCUGCUGGAAUGAAGCUCUGCGGGGAAGGACCUGGGUGUCCUGGUGGACAACAGUUCACCAUGAGUCACCAGUGUGCCCUUGUGGCCAAGAAGACCAAUGGUAUCCUGGGAUGCAUUAAAAAGAACAUGGCCAGCAGGUCAAGGGAGGUGAUCCUCCCACUCUACUCUACUCUAAAGAGGCCACAUCUGGAGUAUUGUGUCCAGUACUGGGCUUUCCAAUUCAAGAAAGACAGGGAACUACUGGAGAGAGUUCAGCAGAGGCUAACAAAGAUGAUGACGGGCCCAUAUCAUCUCCAAUGUGAGGAAAGGCUGAGUAACCUGGGACUGUGCAGCCAGAAGGAGACUGAAAUGGGAUCUUGUCAGUGUUUGCAAACAUCUAAUGGACAGGAACCAGGUGGAUGGGACCAGGCUCUUUUCAAAGAUGUCCAGUGACAGAACAACGGGUAACGAGCACGAACUGGAACACAGGAUGUUGCAUAUGAUCAUAAUAAAUACUUCUUUACUUUGAGGAUGGCAGAGCAAUGGAACAGGAUGCCAUGAGAGGGUAUGGAGUCUUCUCCGGAGAUAUUCAAAACCUUCAUAAAUGCUUUCCUGUGUACCUAGUGUAGGGAAUUUGCUAUAGCAGUGGGCUGGACUGGGUGAUUUCCAGGUGUUCCAUCUAAUCUCUACAAUUCUGUGAUUCUGUGAUUUUUACAUCGUAAAAGGUACAGAUCUUGAGAGAAAUGUGGAAGACAAGUGGAUAGACAAGUUGACAGAAAUAUGAAGGAUUAAAUGCUGUUAGAAAGAAGGUAAUAUAAACAUUUAUAGG